CUCGUUUUGUCACUUCUCGUUUUCACCUGAACUACCUGGAUCGUGCACUAAAAAGAACUGUAAAUCGUUAUGUAUCUAUUCAGAAUUUUUAUUUUUACUUUUUGCGUCAUUGAAUAUAUUCAUUGUGAAGUGAUCCUGAAGCAGUCCGAAGCAGAACAGAGACAGCCCGGCCAGUCUCUCAAACUGUCUUGUUCGAUUUCUGGAUUCACUUUCAGUGGCACCACCUACUACCUGAACUGGAUCCGACAACCUCCGGGAAAAGGGCUGGAAUGGCUGGCAAAUGAAAGAGGAGAUAAAAGUUAUACGAACUACGCAAAUUCAAUUAAAGGGAGAUUCACCAUCUCGACGGACAGCAAUGGCGCAUAUCUGCAAAUGAACGCCCUGACAGCGGAUGACACGGCGGUGUAUUACUGUGCUCGAUCGUCACAGUGAUGCGUGUUGACUGCU
Non-coding RNA from Erpetoichthys calabaricus (reedfish), 447 nucleotides. NCBI's taxonomy places the organism in Eukaryota, Metazoa, Chordata, Cladistia, Polypteriformes, Polypteridae. The record is from the annotation of a RefSeq genome assembly.